UACGUAGGGGGCAAGCGUUGUCCGGAUUUAUUGGGCGUAAAGAGCGUGUAGGCGGCUUUGCAAGUCCGUUGUGAAAACUCGAGGCUCAACCUCGAGACGCCGGUGGAAACUGCAAAGCUAGAGUCCGGAAGAGGAGAGUGGAAUUCCUGGUGUAGCGGUGAAAUGCGCAGAUAUCAGGAAGAACACCCGUGGCGAAGGCGGCUAUCUGGACGGACACUGACGCUGAGACGCGAAAGCGUGGGGAGCAAACAGG
This 253-nucleotide ribosomal RNA is filed under the name uncultured bacterium. RNAcentral describes it as "partial 16S ribosomal RNA". It matches the Rfam family "Bacterial small subunit ribosomal RNA", at positions 524 to 776 of the family's 1533-position model. The record is from RNAcentral.